AUUGAACGCUGGCGGCAUGCCUUACACAUGCAAGUCGAACGGUAACGGGCCUUCGGGUGCCGACGAGUGGCGAACGGGUGAGUAAUACAUCGGAACGUGCCCGAUCGUGGGGGAUAACGAGGCGAAAGCUUUGCUAAUACCGCAUACGAUCUACGGAUGAAAGCAGGGGACCGCAAGGCCUUGCGCGGACGGAGCGGCCGAUGGCAGAUUAGGUAGUUGGUGGGAUAAAAGCUUACCAAGCCGACGAUCUGUAGCUGGUCUGAGAGGAUGAUCCGCCACACUGGGACUGAGACACGGCCCAGACUCCUACGGGAGGCAGCAGUGGGGAAUUUUGGACAAUGGGCGCAAGCCUGAUCCAGCCAUGCCGCGUGCAGGAUGAAGGCCUUCGGGUUGUAAACUGCUUUUGUACGGAACGAAAAGCCUUCUUUUAAUACAGGAGGGUCAUGACGGUACCGUAAGAAUAAGCACCGGCUAACUACGUG
RNAcentral lists this ribosomal RNA (482 nucleotides) under uncultured bacterium. Its description in RNAcentral is "partial 16S ribosomal RNA". It matches the Rfam family "Bacterial small subunit ribosomal RNA", at positions 30 to 507 of the family's 1533-position model. The record is from RNAcentral.